GAUGAACGCUGGCGGCGUGCCUAAUACAUGCAAGUCGAGCGAACGGACGAGAAGCUUGCUUCUCUGAUGUUAGCGGCGGACGGGUGAGUAACACGUGGAUAACCUACCUAUAAGACUGGGAUAACUUCGGGAAACCGGAGCUAAUACCGGAUAAUAUUUUGAACCGCAUGGUUCAAAAGUGAAAGACGGUCUUGCUGUCACUUAUAGAUGGAUCCGCGCUGCAUUAGCUAGUUGGUAAGGUAACGGCUUACCAAGGCAACGAUGCAUAGCCGACCUGAGAGGGUGAUCGGCCACACUUGAACUGAGACACGGUACAGACUCCUACGGGAGGCAGCAGUAGGGAAUCUUCCGCAAUGGGCGAAAGCCUGACGGAGCAACGCCGAGUGAGUGAUGAAGGUCUUCGGAUCGUAAAACUCUGUUAUUAGGGAAGAACAUAUGUGUAAGUAAAUGUGAACAUCAUGACGGUACCUAAUCAGAAAGCCACGGCUAACUACGUG
RNAcentral lists this ribosomal RNA (497 nucleotides) under uncultured bacterium. RNAcentral describes it as "partial 16S ribosomal RNA". It matches the Rfam family "Bacterial small subunit ribosomal RNA", at positions 28 to 507 of the family's 1533-position model. The record is from RNAcentral.